Molecule: RNA transcript, 1488 nt
Organism: Hevea brasiliensis (rubber tree)
Lineage: Eukaryota; Viridiplantae; Streptophyta; Magnoliopsida; Malpighiales; Euphorbiaceae
Gene name: protein TUNICAMYCIN INDUCED 1
Exons: 3
Source: RefSeq, a predicted model, not a curated record
UCAUCAUUACAUAGAUCCGAACUCUCGGCUUUAUAAGAACCAGAAACCAUAUUCAGUCGUUUCACGAUCGCGAUGGCUCCCAAGGUUUCACUUUAUUUACAGACCCUGAUCUUCGUCUUAGUUACGACUCUGCCCUCCUCCCCGGAUGCCACUUCUCCUCCGUGUCCCAAAGCCAUAUCGGAUUUGAAGGAGGUGAUUGUGAAGGGUUUGGGGUUCCAGGCGGAUGAUUUUAAGAUUUCGGGAUUUGAUAUUAGAGAUGCGUUGGUGGGCAGGUCGGUGGCGUAUGAAUUCGAUGUUGAAAUUGAUAACCUGGUGAUGCCGUUUAAGUUGUUGGAGGAUGUUAAUCGAUGGGAGUAUAUGGAUUUUCCGAUUUUCAGAGUUGAGGAAGGAGGACCGGUUAGGCCUGGUGAUGAGAAUGGGUUAGUGAAGCAGAGUGGAAAGACGGAUAAUGGGUUGCCUGUUCUGGCUCCGUUUCAGCUUGCUGGACCCAUGGAGAUAUGGAUUCAGGAUGCUCAGGAUAUGCGCAUCUCGUUGCCGCAUGAUGUGGAUGCUGGUGUACUGAAGAAAGUAAUAUUGGCAGAUGGUGUGGUGGUUAAAGUCAAGGGUGCUAGAUCAGUUAGCCUAGGCCACCCAGUUGAUCUCUCGUUGCCCCUCAACCGGAGUCAAAAUGGUUUUGCCUCUGGUCUUCUGGCCCUUGCUGAACACCUUCGUCGUGCUUCUCAUACCCAAGGAGCUCCACUCCUAUCUCUUCGCAUUGUUGGCCCUACCUCCCUUACAUCACCAUCAUCACCGUCUUCUUCCAAUAACAGACUCAAGCUAAAACGCCUUGCCCCAGGCCUUGUGGAGUUAUCAUCAUUUGCUCCCCUCUUGAUUUGGAGGAAGCCGCAACUCUCCUAACUCCUAAACAUUUCGCUACAAUGUGGCCUCUUGCUUCUGUAAAUGGCUCAAAUGCGAAUUUGCUGGGUUUUGAGAAAUUGCUGGCUUCUGUGUUGGGUCCCAAGGCAAAUAAGAAAGGUUCCUUCAGGUUAUUAAAGGCAGAUGUGUCAGCUCAGACAUUUGUGAAGAUAGGAUUUGAGGUUGAAAAGAAUUUGAAAGAAGGGGACGGAUUUGAUUGGCAGGGCUUUCCUGAGUGGAGGACAAAGCCUGAGUCAGUGAGGAUGCAUUUUGAGGUUCUGGCUAAGGUUGAUGGUGAGAAGGUUGUGCCAGAGAGGGUGGUGCAGGUUAACCCUGUUGUUGUGGAAGAUACUGUGGCAUCGAACGUGCUUGUGGGGAAUGUAACCAUGUCUAGGGUACCUGUUGUUCACAUACCCUUUAACCCGAUGACCUUGUAAAUGGUUGGAGGGAAGUUAAUUUUUUGCCAUAGUUAUCAAAGAGUGUAAAUCCUUUUGGCUUUUCCCUAACACGUAUACGAUGAUUUAGAGUGAAAAGAUGUAAAUUGUAAAGCAAUUGUGCUGAGAAAUCAUAAAGGCUAUGAAUAUUUUAAUUUCA